CCGUGUACUGGACUGUUCUAAAUUUAUCCGGAAGCUAACAGAAGAGGGUGGAGUGUCCUCUUCUAAAAAAAAAAGGAAGAGGGUGCAGUCGUUAGAUUCAUUCCUGCGUCCGGUUCGCCAAGGUCGGAACGCCCUAGCCGCGGUGUGUUAAUUCCUGCCCCAUCACAUCCAUUUGCAGUCUCAUACUUGUUCCUUUGGGUGUAUUAGAUCUCCAGUAUUCCAGCGGGCAGCGGCGAUAGAUCGGCUCGUUGGAGGUGAGCAGCAGAAGCACUGUCGCCGAAAAAAAGGUCCACAUUGUCCACAGCAAAAGUUCACAGAAACAUAGGUUCAGAACCACAUUAACCGAUUUGCAUGACAACCAAAAGAUAAGACAUAGAAGUGGGGGAGGAGAGAAAGUCCAUGCCAAUUAAGCUUCUGCAUUAUCAUCUGGCAUCUUCGACUCAGCUAGCUGUCUUCUUUUGUUGCGAGGAGCGUCAUCGACUUGGAUAUGCUGAAAUCCUUCCGUACUGUGGAGCAUUGGGCUUAUCUUGAUACCCACCGUACUGAGAGUUUGUACUAGUGUUGAUGUUUCUUGCUGUUGCUGUGAAUUUCUACUGUUUAGUUGCAUUAGGAGCAGCUUGUACUGGUGAGGGAUCAAGCACCGGUUCCGCGGGCGCAUGAAAAAGCUUAAGGUCCUCAUGUGGGAGCUUCUCGGUCAAGGGAAAACUGGGUAGCAGCAAUUGUCAACAGCACGCGAGCUAUGGUGUGACAGCACUUUUAGCAUGCUCGUGGACUGGACUUGUUGGCCUUCAGUGUUUCAGCUGUAGUUUGUUAUUAACGUUUCACCUUGAUCGUUGGUUUCGAGUUAUACCAGCUCUGUAUGUAAGCUCUUAACAUUUUACUGCCUUACUUGGUCCGUGACUAAAUGUUAAAUGUUCUUCAGUAUUUCUGCUUGCAAUGAUAGCUUGGAAUGUGCAUAUUAUUCUUUCUAAAAAAAA
Molecule: long non-coding RNA, 977 nt
Organism: Panicum virgatum (switchgrass)
Lineage: Eukaryota; Viridiplantae; Streptophyta; Magnoliopsida; Poales; Poaceae
Exons: 2
Source: RefSeq, a predicted model, not a curated record